AUUGAACGCUGGCGGCAUGCCUUACACAUGCAAGUCGAACGGCAGCGGACCUUCGGGUGCCGGCGAGUGGCGAACGGGUGAGUAAUGCAUCGGAACGUGCCAUUGAGUGGGGGAUAACGUAGCGAAAGUUACGCUAAUACCGCAUAUUCUGUGAGCAGGAAAGCAGGGGACCGCAAGGCCUUGCGCUCUUUGAGCGGCCGAUGUCAGAUUAGCUAGUUGGUGAGGUAAAGGCUUACCAAGGCGACGAUCUGUAGCGGGUCUGAGAGGAUGAUCCGCCACACUGGAACUGAGACACGGUCCAGACUCCUACGGGAGGCAGCAGUGGGGGAAUUUUGGACAAUGGGCGGCAAGCCUGAUCCAGCCAUGCCGCGUGAGUGAAGAAGGCCUC
This 388-nucleotide ribosomal RNA is filed under the name uncultured bacterium. RNAcentral's name for it is "bacterial SSU rRNA". It matches the Rfam family "Bacterial small subunit ribosomal RNA", at positions 30 to 418 of the family's 1533-position model. The record is from RNAcentral.